AGCGAACGCUGGCGGCAGGCCUAACACAUGCAAGUCGAACGGACCCUUCGGGGUUAGUGGCGGACGGGUGAGUAACACGUGGGAACGUGCCUUUAGGUUCGGAAUAGCUCCUGGAAACGGGUGGUAAUGCCGAAUGUGCCCUUCGGGGGAAAGAUUUAUCGCCUUUAGAGCGGCCCGCGCCUGAUUAGAUAGUUGGUGGGGUAAUGGCUCACCAAGGCGACGAUCAGUAGCUGGUCUGAGAGGAUGACCAGCCACAUUGGGACUGAGACACGGCCCAAACUCCUACGGGAGGCAGCAGUGGGGAAUCUUGCGCAAUGGGCGAAAGCCUGACGCAGCCAUGCCGCGUGGAUGAUGAAGGUCUUAGGAUUGUAAAAUCCUUUCACCGGUGAAGAUAAUGACUGUAGCCGGAGAAGAAGCCCCGGCUAACUUCGUGCCAGCCGCCGCCGUAA
RNAcentral lists this ribosomal RNA (449 nucleotides) under uncultured bacterium. RNAcentral's name for it is "partial 16S ribosomal RNA". It matches the Rfam family "Bacterial small subunit ribosomal RNA", at positions 29 to 523 of the family's 1533-position model. The record is from RNAcentral.